This 242-nucleotide ribosomal RNA is filed under the name uncultured bacterium. RNAcentral's name for it is "partial 16S ribosomal RNA". It matches the Rfam family "Bacterial small subunit ribosomal RNA", at positions 91 to 334 of the family's 1533-position model. The record is from RNAcentral.
GCGACCGGCGCACGGGUGAGUAACGCGUAUGCAACCUGCCCGAUACCGGGGUAUAGCCCAUGGAAACGUGGAUUAACACCCCAUAGUACUUUUAUCCUGCCUGGGAUGUGAGUUAAAUGUUCAAGGUAUCGGAUGGGCAUGCGUCCUAUUAGUUAGUUGGCGGGGUAACAGCCCACCAAGACGAUGAUAGGUAGGGGUUCUGAGAGGAAGGUCCCCCACAUUGGAACUGAGACACGGUCCAA